CUGAGACCGAUGCGCGAUUCCCGCCCUCCCGUCCACGCGGCAGCCCUCGCGGGUUGUCGUCGUGUGGCGGGGCCAAAGGACGGCGCGCUCCGCUUUGGUGACUCUGGAUAACUCACUGGUCGAUCGCACGGGCUUCCACGCCCGGCGACGGGUCCCUCGAGGGUCCGCCCUAUCAACUC
Molecule: ribosomal RNA, 179 nt
Filed under: Cranchia scabra
Lineage: Eukaryota; Metazoa; Mollusca; Cephalopoda; Oegopsida; Cranchiidae
Description: partial small subunit ribosomal RNA
Source: RNAcentral